RNAcentral lists this ribosomal RNA (397 nucleotides) under uncultured bacterium. Its description in RNAcentral is "partial 16S ribosomal RNA". It matches the Rfam family "Bacterial small subunit ribosomal RNA", at positions 523 to 918 of the family's 1533-position model. The record is from RNAcentral.
AUACGUAGGGGGCGAGCGUUGUCCGGAAUGAUUGGGCGUAAAGGGCGCGUAGGCGGCCCGGUAAGUCUGGAGUGCAAGUCCUGUUUUUAAGAUGGGAAUUGCUUUGGAUACUGUCGGGCUUGAGUGCAGGAGAGGUAAGUGGCAUUCCCAGUGUCGCGGUGAAAUGCGUAGAGGUUGGGAGGAACACCAGUGGCGAAGGCGACUUACUGGACUGUAACUGACGCUGAGGCGCGAAAGUGUGGGGAGCAAACAGGAUUAGAUACCCUGGUAGUCCACACUGUAAACGAUGAAUGCUAGGUGUAGGGGGUAUCGACCCCUUCUGUGCCGCAGGCAACACAAUAAGCAUUCCGCCUGGGGAGUACGGCCGCAAGGUUGAAACUCAAAUGAAUUGGCGGGG